This is a non-coding RNA of Choloepus hoffmanni (Hoffmann's two-fingered sloth), 127 nucleotides long. Lineage: Eukaryota; Metazoa; Chordata; Mammalia; Pilosa; Megalonychidae. The record is from Rfam.
AUGUCCCCCUUCCUCGGUUCCCCUCUUCUCCAUUUUCCCUUUCAGCUGCUCUUAUUACAUGGAGUUUGGAGCCUAAACUUUGAACACUCUCAUAUGGCGCCUGUCUUAAAUCGGAGCAUGCUCAGUA